This 342-nucleotide ribosomal RNA is filed under the name uncultured fungus. RNAcentral's name for it is "SSU rRNA". It matches the Rfam family "Eukaryotic small subunit ribosomal RNA", at positions 292 to 636 of the family's 1831-position model. The record is from RNAcentral. Lineage: Eukaryota; Fungi.
GGUUCAUUCAAAUUUCUUCCCUAUCAACUUUCGAUGCGAGGGUAUUUGCCUCGCAUGGUUACAACGGGUAACGGAGGGUUAGGGCUCGACCCGGAGAAGGAGCCUGAGAAACGGCUACUACAUCCAAGGAAGGCAGCAGGCGCGCAAAUUACCCAAUCCCGACCGGGGAGGUAGUGACAAUAAAUACUGAUACAGGGCUCUUUUGGGUCUUGUAAUCGGAAUGAGUACAAUUUAAAUCUCUUAACGAGGAACAAUUGGAGGGCAAGUCUGGUGCCAGAGCCGCGGUAAUUCCAGCUCCAAUAGCGUAUAUUAAAGUUGUAGUGGUUAAAAAGCUCGUAGUUG